RNAcentral lists this long non-coding RNA (1451 nucleotides) under Homo sapiens (human). RNAcentral's name for it is "HSALNT0392077". The record is from RNAcentral. Lineage: Eukaryota; Metazoa; Chordata; Mammalia; Primates; Hominidae.
CUGUGAUUAUGCCACUGCACUCCACCCCAGGCAACGGAGUGGGACCCUGUCUCCAAAACAAAACACAAAAAACCCCACACGGGUCACUCUUCACUGUUUUACUUACAAGUGGACGAAGGGCAUAAACAAUUAAACAUAAUGAAACUGACCCAUAAACAUAUGUAAAAAUACUCAACUACACUAAUAAUCGAAAAGUAUAAUUAAAACAAUGAAACGGUCAAGCGUCUACUUAAUUGCAAAGGUAUUUUCAAAUGGCAAUGCCCAGGGCUGGCAGCCGAGCCAGGAAAAAGCCUCCCUCAGACCCCACGAGCGGGCACAUAAAAUGGGACAAACUUCCCAAACAGCAAUUUUGCAAAACGUGCCAAUUCCCCUAAAGGUUAUUUAUUAUUUAUCCAGUUAUUUCUAUCACUUCCAGAAACCAUACUGAGAAAAUAACCAGAAAUCUGAACAAAGAUUUAUACACUGUCUCAUCAUAACAUGAGUUAUAAUAUUAAAAAAUCAGAAGCAACCUAAAUGUCUAAUAGCACAAAAGUGGUUAAAUUAUUGGUAAUUCCCAAUAAUGAAAUAUAUGCAUGUAUUUCCAAAGAGUCUCCUGAAAAAGGAGAUGAGAUCAGGAAACAUGCCUGACCGUGAGGAAGCCAUGAUUGCACAUAGUAUUUGGCCCUUUCUUUUCUAAGUAGUUGUAAGUCAAUUAUUUUAAAAUUCUAGUUCUCUUUCUAAAUACAGAAGCAAAGCAGCCCAUGAUAGAUGCCGUGCUGAGGCUCCUCUCCCUAGGCAGCACUGCAUCAGGAAUAAUCCCACACUCAGCAUCCUUGGAAUGAGAAGUAUAAAGAGGAGGAGAAGUUCAUCUCAGAACUUCAAAAAGACCUGCGCUGAAAUCCUCGACUCUACUGCGCUAUGCAGGAGGAGUCUUAGACCCACUUGAUUGAUGAAAACACUCAGACUCAGACCAGGAGCAGACAGGUAGAGAGCCGUGGAACCAGCUUGGAGAAAGCUACUGGCUUAGAGCUCCCACCUCCAGAAGGCCUUUCUCCGUCCGGCCCAUCCAGCCACCACCACCUCACACCCUGCCUCCUGCACUGUCAUCCAUCUGCCCUGAUAGACUGGAAAACACCUUCAACGCAGGAAUUACUCCCCAUGGUAUCCGCAGCACUUAGCCCAGUGCCCAGCACAGAGAAGGGGCUCGAUGAUAGUAGCUGAAUGACUAAAUUCUAUACAUCAGUCACUUGUGAAUUCAUUGUCCAUCCUCCGCCCUGCUCCCGCAACCACUCCACCUGAGCACACAGAUCUUCGUCCAGCCACCAUGGACUCCACAGCCCAUCCAGCUAGGAGCUCAGCCAAGUCUCUGGUGCAGAACAGACACCAUCUCAAUGUCCAGCUGCAGAAUUCCUGAAAUCGCUACCUUGUUACUCAAGGGCAGAUCAUGACUGCACUGUGCUUUUCACUCAGCU